UAAGUAGUAGUGUAAAGCAUGUUAAUCUUUGAAGUUAAAGGAAUAUACUUAA
RNAcentral lists this transfer RNA (52 nucleotides) under Chortoglyphus arcuatus. Its description in RNAcentral is "tRNA-Gln". The record is from RNAcentral. Lineage: Eukaryota; Metazoa; Arthropoda; Arachnida; Sarcoptiformes; Chortoglyphidae.